ACAAGCGGUGGAGCACGUUGGUUUAAUUCGAAGCAACGCGAAGAACCCUUUACCAGGUCUUGACAUCCCGAUGCUUAUUUCUAGAGAUAGAAAGUUACUUCGGUACAUCGGUGACAGGUGGUGCAUGGUUGUCGUCAGCUCGUGUCGUGAGAUGUUGGGUUAAGUCCCGCAACGAGCGCAACCCCUAUUGUUAGUUGCCAUCAUUCAGUUGGGCACUCUAGCGAGACUGCCGGUAAUAAACCGGAGGAAGUGGGAUGACGUCAAAUCAUCAUGCCCCUUAUGACCUGGGCUACACACGUGCUACAAUGGUUGGUACAACGAGUUGCGAGUCGGUGACGGCGAGCUAAUCUCUUAAAGCCAAUCUCAGUUCGGAUUGUAGGCUGCAACUCGCCUACAUGAAGUCGGAAUCGCUAGUAAUCGCGGAUCAGCACGCCGCGGUCGAAUACGUUCCCGGGCCUU
RNAcentral lists this ribosomal RNA (459 nucleotides) under uncultured Streptococcus sp. RNAcentral describes it as "bacterial SSU rRNA". It matches the Rfam family "Bacterial small subunit ribosomal RNA", at positions 925 to 1382 of the family's 1533-position model. The record is from RNAcentral. Lineage: Bacteria; Bacillati; Bacillota; Bacilli; Lactobacillales; Streptococcaceae.